CAGCGCUCGCCACCGCGCCCUGGAGCUGCACUCAUGCGCUUCAGAGCGGGUGGCGGAGGAAGGGACCGGCGCGGGGGGGCGGGGGGCGAGCACGUCGGAAGCCAGAGAACUCCGUGUCCCUGCGCUCCGUCGGUCACCAGGCGCGGGCCGGCAUGAUGGAGCCGCAGCAUGUGCACCAUGUGCUUGGAGCCCAGAGCCCAGCCUGGGAGGAACUGGUGGGUACCGCGCCCGCGCCCACCCCUUCCGCUUGUCCUUGCUCCCCGCCUCCCUCUCCCGGCCCAGGUUCCGUGCAGGAAGCGGUCCGGGAUGAGGUCCCCAGCUGCUUCCCAGCCGGGACAGCGCUUCCUCCCGCGCCCUGGCUCCUCCUUGCUCGCCGCCUGAAGCGCCUUUGUCCGGGGCUGCUGGUGUACCACCAUCAUCCCCAACACUCCUGUUCAGAAGAUGGGUGAGGAAAGUGGAAAGUCUAAUCAGUCAGCCGAUGACCAGUGGGAAAAAUGAGCUACAAGAUCACCUGAUCUUCAUCAGUGAGAAAGCUUUGCACAAGAGGAUCUGCUAGAAAUACUUCAACCCAAAAGUCCAAAAUCACUAAGCAGAAAUCAAAUAUAAAUGAACUAGAAGAAUUGAAUUUGGAUAUGAGGAAGAUCAGUAAUGACAUGGAGGAAAUGUGUGGAAUCCUGGACCUUUACAUGUUGAGGAUUUGAACUACAGGAUGAACACUGAAUUCAACAUCAUUAAAUCACAACAUGAGAAGACAAUGUUGGAUAUGAAUAAAAUGAUCCAGUCCAUAAUUGGUUCCAUGCAGUACUCCAAGGAACUGAUAGAAGAUAACUAUUCCUACAGUGUGAAAUAGGCAGGCAGAAAGCAGAACAUGGCACAGACCAGGACAUGAUCUCCCUCAAAGAGAAGUGCUGGAGGAAGAGCACUGAGUGUGCACAGGAAAUACACCACUGUUGCCUCUCAUCCCUAAUAACCAUGGCUGUAAUGGGCUGUAUGCUCCUCCUUUAUUUUGUUUCUUUGGUAUGAACAGGCCUUAAUUUCAUCUAGCCUCUGGCCCAGGAAGAGUGCACAUUUAAAGGGACUCAGAGAAUUGCUGAGACACAUCAAGAGCUGCUGGGCAUCCAGGAAGAUUCUGAGAGUUUAAAUUUAUCUUUUCCUGAUGGGUCAUCAUCAAUAAUUACAUGGAGAUCAGUCAACAAAAUUGUAAAACCUUGGAUCCAAGUCUACAACCUGUGUUCUGCUUUGACUUGGGAGGCCAUAUCCUUCAGACCCACACUCCAAAAGGAGAGUGUUGCUUAAAUUUCUCCUGCAAAGUUUGUUACCUCCAGGAACUGCUUUUCUGCUAAGUUGCCAAGGACAGCCACAGGCUGUAAGGCUGUGCUACAAAAUGAGCAGACUAAGAAUUUUGCUUUGCACAAUUUUUGUGGUUUGAUUUGGUUUGAGUUUUGAUUAGUUUAGUUACUUGGUUUUUCUUGUUUUCAUUCAAAGUUUUGUUAUUUAUUGGUUAUUUAUUGUUCUUGUAAUUAAUUUGAUAUUUUGAUAAGGUUAUACACAGUACAUAUUGACUGUCAGCUUUCAGUUACAAUUGAGUACAUUGCAUUUUUUCUUAUGACUAACACAGUGAUCUCCAACUCUUCACUCUUAAGAAACUUAUUAUUUCAGGUGUGAUCAUGAAAUCCCACAGAUAUCAGACCCAGAUGGAUCUCUGCAUUUUUGAUGGGACUUGGGCUCCAUAGUUUCUUCUGAGCCAGACUGAACUACAAACUCCUUCAUACAUUCAGUAUGGAGAGUUUUUCUAACUGUCUGUAUAGGAACUUAAUGAUGGAAAACUUACCCAUGCUGCAUCGUUGCUGUCAAAUAUUUAGCUACUGUGAAAAUACUGUGGAUGAUGGUGUUGAACGCAUUAAUGGCAAAUACAUCAGUAUUUUUGUAAUGGCUCUCAUUAAAUCAAAGCAUAAUCUAAGGGAAUAAAAAGCUGUCAGAAAACA
RNA transcript from Mus musculus (house mouse), 1985 nucleotides. It is a transcript of the gene named predicted gene, 16525, with no coding region annotated. NCBI's taxonomy places the organism in Eukaryota, Metazoa, Chordata, Mammalia, Rodentia, Muridae. The transcript is spliced from 5 exons. The record is from RefSeq and is marked validated.